This 2904-nucleotide ribosomal RNA is filed under the name Escherichia coli. RNAcentral describes it as "bacterial LSU rRNA". It matches the Rfam family "Bacterial large subunit ribosomal RNA". The record is from RNAcentral. RNAcentral also lists the same sequence under 4 other names. Lineage: Bacteria; Pseudomonadati; Pseudomonadota; Gammaproteobacteria; Enterobacterales; Enterobacteriaceae.
UUAAGCGACUAAGCGUACACGGUGGAUGCCCUGGCAGUCAGAGGCGAUGAAGGACGUGCUAAUCUGCGAUAAGCGUCGGUAAGGUGAUAUGAACCGUUAUAACCGGCGAUUUCCGAAUGGGGAAACCCAGUGUGUUUCGACACACUAUCAUUAACUGAAUCCAUAGGUUAAUGAGGCGAACCGGGGGAACUGAAACAUCUAAGUACCCCGAGGAAAAGAAAUCAACCGAGAUUCCCCCAGUAGCGGCGAGCGAACGGGGAGCAGCCCAGAGCCUGAAUCAGUGUGUGUGUUAGUGGAAGCGUCUGGAAAGGCGCGCGAUACAGGGUGACAGCCCCGUACACAAAAAUGCACAUGCUGUGAGCUCGAUGAGUAGGGCGGGACACGUGGUAUCCUGUCUGAAUAUGGGGGGACCAUCCUCCAAGGCUAAAUACUCCUGACUGACCGAUAGUGAACCAGUACCGUGAGGGAAAGGCGAAAAGAACCCCGGCGAGGGGAGUGAAAAAGAACCUGAAACCGUGUACGUACAAGCAGUGGGAGCACGCUUAGGCGUGUGACUGCGUACCUUUUGUAUAAUGGGUCAGCGACUUAUAUUCUGUAGCAAGGUUAACCGAAUAGGGGAGCCGAAGGGAAACCGAGUCUUAACUGGGCGUUAAGUUGCAGGGUAUAGACCCGAAACCCGGUGAUCUAGCCAUGGGCAGGUUGAAGGUUGGGUAACACUAACUGGAGGACCGAACCGACUAAUGUUGAAAAAUUAGCGGAUGACUUGUGGCUGGGGGUGAAAGGCCAAUCAAACCGGGAGAUAGCUGGUUCUCCCCGAAAGCUAUUUAGGUAGCGCCUCGUGAAUUCAUCUCCGGGGGUAGAGCACUGUUUCGGCAAGGGGGUCAUCCCGACUUACCAACCCGAUGCAAACUGCGAAUACCGGAGAAUGUUAUCACGGGAGACACACGGCGGGUGCUAACGUCCGUCGUGAAGAGGGAAACAACCCAGACCGCCAGCUAAGGUCCCAAAGUCAUGGUUAAGUGGGAAACGAUGUGGGAAGGCCCAGACAGCCAGGAUGUUGGCUUAGAAGCAGCCAUCAUUUAAAGAAAGCGUAAUAGCUCACUGGUCGAGUCGGCCUGCGCGGAAGAUGUAACGGGGCUAAACCAUGCACCGAAGCUGCGGCAGCGACGCUGAUGCGUUGUUGGGUAGGGGAGCGUUCUGUAAGCCUGCGAAGGUGUGCUGUGAGGCAUGCUGGAGGUAUCAGAAGUGCGAAUGCUGACAUAAGUAACGAUAAAGCGGGUGAAAAGCCCGCUCGCCGGAAGACCAAGGGUUCCUGUCCAACGUUAAUCGGGGCAGGGUGAGUCGACCCCUAAGGCGAGGCCGAAAGGCGUAGUCGAUGGGAAACAGGUUAAUAUUCCUGUACUUGGUGUUACUGCGAAGGGGGGACGGAGAAGGCUAUGUUGGCCGGGCGACGGUUGUCCCGGUUUAAGCGUGUAGGCUGGUUUUCCAGGCAAAUCCGGAAAAUCAAGGCUGAGGCGUGAUGACGAGGCACUACGGUGCUGAAGCAACAAAUGCCCUGCUUCCAGGAAAAGCCUCUAAGCAUCAGGUAACAUCAAAUCGUACCCCAAACCGACACAGGUGGUCAGGUAGAGAAUACCAAGGCGCUUGAGAGAACUCGGGUGAAGGAACUAGGCAAAAUGGUGCCGUAACUUCGGGAGAAGGCACGCUGAUAUGUAGGUGAAGUCCCUCGCGGAUGGAGCUGAAAUCAGUCGAAGAUACCAGCUGGCUGCAACUGUUUAUUAAAAACACAGCACUGUGCAAACACGAAAGUGGACGUAUACGGUGUGACGCCUGCCCGGUGCCGGAAGGUUAAUUGAUGGGGUUAGCCGCAAGGCGAAGCUCUUGAUCGAAGCCCCGGUAAACGGCGGCCGUAACUAUAACGGUCCUAAGGUAGCGAAAUUCCUUGUCGGGUAAGUUCCGACCUGCACGAAUGGCGUAAUGAUGGCCAGGCUGUCUCCACCCGAGACUCAGUGAAAUUGAACUCGCUGUGAAGAUGCAGUGUACCCGCGGCAAGACGGAAAGACCCCGUGAACCUUUACUAUAGCUUGACACUGAACAUUGAGCCUUGAUGUGUAGGAUAGGUGGGAGGCUUUGAAGUGUGGACGCCAGUCUGCAUGGAGCCGACCUUGAAAUACCACCCUUUAAUGUUUGAUGUUCUAACGUUGACCCGUAAUCCGGGUUGCGGACAGUGUCUGGUGGGUAGUUUGACUGGGGCGGUCUCCUCCUAAAGAGUAACGGAGGAGCACGAAGGUUGGCUAAUCCUGGUCGGACAUCAGGAGGUUAGUGCAAUGGCAUAAGCCAGCUUGACUGCGAGCGUGACGGCGCGAGCAGGUGCGAAAGCAGGUCAUAGUGAUCCGGUGGUUCUGAAUGGAAGGGCCAUCGCUCAACGGAUAAAAGGUACUCCGGGGAUAACAGGCUGAUACCGCCCAAGAGUUCAUAUCGACGGCGGUGUUUGGCACCUCGAUGUCGGCUCAUCACAUCCUGGGGCUGAAGUAGGUCCCAAGGGUAUGGCUGUUCGCCAUUUAAAGUGGUACGCGAGCUGGGUUUAGAACGUCGUGAGACAGUUCGGUCCCUAUCUGCCGUGGGCGCUGGAGAACUGAGGGGGGCUGCUCCUAGUACGAGAGGACCGGAGUGGACGCAUCACUGGUGUUCGGGUUGUCAUGCCAAUGGCACUGCCCGGUAGCUAAAUGCGGAAGAGAUAAGUGCUGAAAGCAUCUAAGCACGAAACUUGCCCCGAGAUGAGUUCUCCCUGACUCCUUGAGAGUCCUGAAGGAACGUUGAAGACGACGACGUUGAUAGGCCGGGUGUGUAAGCGCAGCGAUGCGUUGAGCUAACCGGUACUAAUGAACCGUGAGGCUUAACCUU